Molecule: RNA transcript, 1199 nt
Organism: Ipomoea triloba (trilobed morning glory)
Lineage: Eukaryota; Viridiplantae; Streptophyta; Magnoliopsida; Solanales; Convolvulaceae
Exons: 3
Source: RefSeq, a predicted model, not a curated record
CUCCCCACUCACCAUUUCCAAGCUUCCUUUUCACCGUUUUCUGCAGAAGCAAUCUCAGUUUAUUUUAAUUUUCUGCUUUCUGAUCCCUUUGAUGAGGGAAGAAGAAGAAGGGGUAUCGGGAAAUAUAAGGAAUUGUUGUUGGGAUUGGGAUAGAAGCGAUGGAGAGUCCAUAUUCUGCGCCGCCGCAUGUGGAUGCAUCUCGGCCGUCACUGGGCUUCCCUCUCGGCACGGCGCUGCUCUUGAUCGUCAUCUUCACCCUCAGCGGCGUAUUCUCCUGCUGUUACCACUGGGACAAGCUCCGCUCCCUCCGUCGCUCUUUCGCCGACGCCUCGCCCGCCGACGGUGAUGAUGGGCCCCGCAAGCCUGUUCUCGCACAACCGGAUUUGAAGCAAAAUCAGAGCUUGACUUUGCCGGUAGUAAUGCCGGGGGAGCAUGUGCCGAGGUUCUUGGCAUUGCCGUGUCCCUGUCAGCCGCCGCGGGCGGAGAGGAUCGUUGUGGAGGUGCAGAAGCCUCCGCCUCCGCCGCCGAAGCCUCUCCGGGGAGCUGAAGCGGUGCCGUUCUAUUAGACCGGCAACCGGGACACGCAAUUGGGAACCGGGAAAUUCCCUUCUUUCGCCAGAAUCGGAACAGACAGGUGUCAUCGUACGUUGUUGAAUUGAUUCUCGAAGAUACGGCGAAAGAUUUCGGUAUUUCACUGUCGGAGGCUAACCGUUUCGCUUCACCAAGAGUGUUGACGUCAUUUUAGUGAUUUGAUAAGUCAUAAUCUGGGAUAUCUAGAGCUGGCCUGGUAGUGCCCGCAGUCGCAUCGUCAGUCCACUUCAAAGGUUGUUCCAACAUCAGGAGGACUAGAAUCGAAUACCACAAUCUCCUCCAUUCCACACAGCAUCAUCACUGUUGUACAACAUACCACUCUAGGACAUUUUGUCUCCCCAACGCAUAUUAAACUUGCCCACAAUGGUAAGAUGCCCUUGCUUUUCGCGACUGACAGAUAAUGAAAAGGUAAAUUAUGUCUUUCCAACGCAUAUUAAUCUUGCCCACAAAGGCAAGAAUGCAAGAUGCCCUUGCUUCGCACGACUGACUGAUAGAUAAUAAAAAGGUAAAUUAUGUUGAUAUUUCCAACGCAUAUUAACCUUGCUCACAAAAGCAAGACGCCCUUGCUUCCUAGGACUGACAGAUAAUAAAAAGAUAAAUUUUGUUGA